This 509-nucleotide ribosomal RNA is filed under the name uncultured bacterium. Its description in RNAcentral is "bacterial SSU rRNA". It matches the Rfam family "Bacterial small subunit ribosomal RNA", at positions 30 to 523 of the family's 1533-position model. The record is from RNAcentral.
AUUGAACGCUGGCGGCAUGCCUUACACAUGCAAGUCGAACGGCAGCGCGGACUUCGGUCUGGCGGCGAGUGGCGAACGGGUGAGUAAUACAUCGGAACGUACCCUGUUGUGGGGGAUAACUAGUCGAAAGAUUAGCUAAUACCGCAUACGACCUACGGGUGAAAGUGGGGGACCGUUCGGGCCGUCACGCGAUGAGAUGAGCCGAUGCCGGAUUAGCUAGUUGGCGGGGUAAAGGGACCCGACCAACGGCGACGAUCCGUAGCUGGUCUGAGAGGAUGAUCAGCCACACUGGAACUGAGACACGGUCCAGACUCCUACGGGAGGCAGCAGUGGGGAAGUAUUGGACAAUGGGGGCGAACCCUCGAUCCAGCCAUGCCGCGUGAGUGAAGAAGGCCCUCGGGUUGUAAAGCUCUUUUGUCCGGAAAGAAAAGCAAUCGGUUAAUACCCGGUUGUUCUGACGGUACCGGAAGAAUAAGCACCGGCUAACUUCGUGCCAGCAGCCGCGGUAA